Rhododendron vialii is the source of this 2546-nucleotide long non-coding RNA. RefSeq lists it as uncharacterized. The record is from RefSeq and is a predicted model, not a curated record. NCBI's taxonomy places the organism in Eukaryota, Viridiplantae, Streptophyta, Magnoliopsida, Ericales, Ericaceae. The transcript is spliced from 3 exons.
CCGCCGUCGAUUCAUUCCUAGUGUAUCGCUCUAGGGUUUGAAAAUGUAGGCUUUUACUGUAUUUGGCUUUGGGGAUAUCAGCUCUUGAUUUGGAUUUGCCUAGCAAGAAAUAAGAUUACUGCUGGAUUAACUGAUUUUUUUUCUUCGAUUCUUGCUCUCAAGUUUUUUCUUUUGGUUGUUGUUAUGAAAGUCAACUAUAGGAAUUGGAACAUGUGACGCGUAAAACGUAGGCUUGACUGAGUUUUGAUUCGUAUGCCUCAAUUUUGAGCAUUCUAAUUCAGCCCCGCUUACGAGUAUUGCCUGAGUUGUUCUGUUGGAUUCGAUUAAGUUGUAGUUUUUUUCAUUCGUUAAUCAUAAUCUACUCUAUCCUAGGGGACUUGGGAGGGGAUGGGGUGCUUAUGGGAAUCGAACCUUGCCCAUAUGCAUGAGAGUAUAAGAGAGGCACCAACUGCACUCGACUCCACUUGCAAUUAAGUUGUAGACUUGUAGUUAAUUACCCAAUCAUUUCGUUACCUUUGAUUCCAUCUGAUUAUAUGGAAAAUGCAGUGUAAAAUAUGAUAUCUUGUUUCCUUAAGAAGCUGCACCUGGGUUUUUAUUUUCCUCAUGCGUUUGAGAUUCUAAACAGUGAAGAACACGGGUUCUUAUUCUCCUUCUAGUUAUUUCAUUUUCUAUCUGCUGAGAAAACAGAAGAAAAAAAGGAAAGAAAGAGAAGAGAGAAGAUGGGGACGAGACCUUGACCAAUGGGUUGGUGCUUGGUUGUGUUGAGAGGUUGAGAAGAAGGACAGGAAGAAACACAAGUGAGAGAAAGAAGUGGGUGUGGAAAAUGAGUUAGGUGAAACUGGUUAGGAAGAGAAGAGGGAGAGGAAAGACAUAGCUGAGAAUCCAAUUGGGACUGGAUUUAGUCUGCUCCAUCUUUUUCCUCUCAGCAGCUCCAUUCAAGUCUCCAACUGCAGGAAGUUCCACUUCAGAUAGGUUGUUUUACUUCAUGUUGAACCCCCCCCGGUUCACCACAACAGGAAGUAUUAGAGUAAGGACAAGUGAAGAGACAAUUUUCUGAGUUAAAGCAAAAGGGUUAACCACCUGAAAAGGAAAACUGUAUAUUGUGCUAGCCAGUAUGACUUGGGAGUGAAAUAGGCAUGUUUUGAAAAUUUGGUUUUAUGUAUUAUGAAUUGGCUAAUUUGUGAACUCCAUUAGUUAGCCCUUUAUCUUUAUCCUUUUAUUUGUAAAAUUUUAUAGGCAAGCUGAGCUGUUGGAAAGGAAAAGAUUGAAAAAGCUUCAGCGGAAGGAACUGAAAAUGAAAGGGCAAGCAAAUGGAGAGAAGGUAGAUCUAAAGGACAUCUCUGCUGAUUUAUUGGACAGUCCACCAUCUGCAGAAAUAUCCAGUUAGAACGUCCUAGAAACAACCACAGAACAUGUCCCUUCACCUUUUGAGCCUGUCCAAACUUGUAGGUUGUAGCGGUGAAGAACGAUACUGAAGCUCAAAGUGGAUUCAGCCUCGAACACUCAGAUUUAGGCGCCUUUCCAAAUGCUGAACGCCAAAUGGUACAUGCAGUGUUCUAAAAGGCGGCCGCCUAGGCCGAUUAGUCCCCUCCUAGGCUCUAGGCGGUGGUCUGAUGCCUAGAUUAGACAGCCGACUAGUCGGGUGCCUAGUCCCCGCCUAUGUGCUAGGCGGCCGACUAUUCGGCACCUAGGUGCUAGGCGGCCCUUUUCCACCCGUCUAGCGCCUAGCGAUUUUUAGAACAUUGGGUACAUGGAAAUCACCAAGUUUUGGACGUAACGGCUUUUAUUCAACUCAGAAUCUCUAGUUCAGACCAGGAAACUAAAAAAGGAAAACGAGGGAAAGAUCUUGAAAUCCAUAUUGUUGACAGAGGAUGUAGCCAAAAUGGAUCAACUUACCAGUGAGGUGAUGAUUGGUUUUAUAUCAGUCCCACUUGGUUACUGUACUUCCCACCGGCAGGAUGAUGAUCUGAUUGAAGCGCAAGAGCAUUGCAGUACAGAGCAUGCAAUUUUGAAGCACACAGAAAUUGAUUCUGUCCAUGGUGGUUCCCAAUCCACGGUUAAGCUUCGGAGGCCAGUGAGCUGGCACGAAGUCAGAGGUCCAUUGCCGGUCCAAAAUGGCAAAGAGGACGUAAUAACAGGAGGAAAGGACCAUGGCCGAAUGGUGCCAAGUGAAACUUGUCUAUGAUCUUGUGCUUCGGGUGAUAAUGAGGCUGAUUCUCACCCCGCAGUGACCAAAAGUGCUCCUGCAGAAGGAUUGCUGUUCUCCAGCAAUGCUGCAAAAGCUUUUCUUGCACAGAGUAUGGUUAUAAUUCUAUCAUUUAGUCCCUCUCUGCUAUGCUUAUAACCUGAGAAUUGCUUGUGGUCCAUUAGAGGAUUUCCAAUUCACAAUGGUUAAAAUAACAUGUCAGAGCCAAACUUUGGCUCUAGAGUAUCCAAAAUGCUAAAGUAUGGCUACCUUCUGUUGCUAGAAAUGCUUUUCCUUCUCUGCUAUACUUGUAACUUGACAAUUCUUUAUCAGGUUCAUGAUUUGUGUGUUGCUUCUAAAA